RNAcentral lists this ribosomal RNA (497 nucleotides) under uncultured bacterium. RNAcentral describes it as "partial 16S ribosomal RNA". It matches the Rfam family "Bacterial small subunit ribosomal RNA", at positions 28 to 507 of the family's 1533-position model. The record is from RNAcentral.
GAUGAACGCUGGCGGCGUGCCUAAUACAUGCAAGUCGAGCGAACAGACGAGGAGCUUGCUCCUCUGACGUUAGCGGCGGACGGGUGAGUAACACGUGGAUAACCUACCUAUAAGACUGGGAUAACUUCGGGAAACCGGAGCUAAUACCGGAUAAUAUAUUGAACCGCAUGGUUCAAUAGUGAAAGACGGUUUUGCUGUCAAUUAUAGAUGGAUCCGCGCCGCAUUAGCUAGUUGGUAAGGUAACGGCUUACCAAGGCAACGAUGCGUAGCCGACCUGAGAGGGUGAUCGGCCACACUGGAACUGAGACACGGUCCAGACUCCUACGGGAGGCAGCAGUAGGGAAUCUUCCGCAAGGGGCGAAAGCCUGACGGAGCAACGCCGCGUGAGUGAUGAAGGUCUUCGGAUCGUAAAACUCUGUUAUUAGGGAAGAACAAAUGUGUAAGUAACUAGGCACGUCUUGACGGUACCUGAUCAGAAAGCCACGGCUAACUACGUG